RNAcentral lists this ribosomal RNA (582 nucleotides) under uncultured bacterium. RNAcentral describes it as "bacterial SSU rRNA". It matches the Rfam family "Bacterial small subunit ribosomal RNA", at positions 8 to 588 of the family's 1533-position model. The record is from RNAcentral.
AGAGUUUGAUUAUGGCUCAGGAUGAACGCUGGCGGCGUGCUUAACACAUGCAAGUCGAACGAAGCACUUGGAACAGAUUACUUCGGUUUGAAGUUCCAUUUGACUGAGUGGCGGACGGGUGAGUAACGCGUGGGUAACCUGCCUCAUACAGGGGGAUAACAGUUAGAAAUGACUGCUAAUACCGCAUAAGCGCACGGGACUGCAUGGUCUUGUGUGAAAAACUCCGGUGGUAUGAGAUGGACCCGCGUCUGAUUAGCUUGUUGGCGGGGUAACGGCCCACCAAGGCGACGAUCAGUAGCCGGCCUGAGAGGGUGAACGGCCACAUUGGGACUGAGACACGGCCCAAACUCCUACGGGAGGCAGCAGUGGGGAAUAUUGCACAAUGGGGGGAACCCUGAUGCAGCGACGCCGCGUGAAGGAAGAAGUAUUUCGGUAUGUAAACUUCUAUCAGCAGGGAAGAAAAUGACGGUACCUGACUAAGAAGCCCCGGCUAACUACGUGCCAGCAGCCGCGGUAAUACGUAGGGGGCAAGCGUUAUCCGGAUUUACUGGGUGUAAAGGGAGCGUAAGCGGUUUGGCAAGU